This 70-nucleotide transfer RNA is filed under the name Ictidomys tridecemlineatus (thirteen-lined ground squirrel). Its description in RNAcentral is "Spermophilus tridecemlineatus (thirteen-lined ground squirrel) tRNA". It matches the Rfam family "tRNA". From Rfam's summary of the family: Transfer RNA (tRNA) molecules are approximately 80 nucleotides in length. Their secondary structure includes four short double-helical elements and three loops (D, anti-codon, and T loops). Further hydrogen bonds mediate the characteristic L-shaped molecular structure. tRNAs have two regions of fundamental functional importance: the anti-codon, which is responsible for specific mRNA codon recognition, and the 3' end, to which the tRNAs corresponding amino acid is attached (by aminoacyl-tRNA synthetases). tRNAs cope with the degeneracy of the genetic code in two manners: having more than one tRNA (with a specific anti-codon) for a particular amino acid; and 'wobble' base-pairing, i.e. permitting non-standard base-pairing at the 3rd anti-codon position. Lineage: Eukaryota; Metazoa; Chordata; Mammalia; Rodentia; Sciuridae. The record is from Rfam by way of RNAcentral.
GGGGUUGUGACUCAGUGGUAGAGCACUUGCCUGGCAUGCAUGGAGGCUCUGGGUUCAGCCCCCAGCACCA